This 238-nucleotide unclassified non-coding RNA is filed under the name uncultured fungus. RNAcentral describes it as "partial contains 5.8S ribosomal RNA, internal transcribed spacer 2, and large subunit ribosomal RNA". Lineage: Eukaryota; Fungi. The record is from RNAcentral.
AACGCACAUUGCGCCCUUUGGCAUUCCGAAGGGCAUGCCCGUUCGAGCGUCAUUACACCCCUCAAGCCUGGCUUGGUAUUGGGCGACGGCAGUCUGCCGCGCCUCGAAGUGAUCGGCUGGACGGUUUGAAUCUCAGCGUUGUGGUUUCAUCAAUUCGCUGGCGAGGACGACCGGACGCGCCGUUAAACCUCAAUCACAGGUUGACCUCGGAUCGGGUAGGGAUACCCGCUGAACUUAA